GGGGUGAAAUUUGAUCCUGGCUCAGGACGAACGCUGGCGGCGUGUUUAACACAUGCAAGUCGAACGAUGAAGCCCUUCGGGGUGGAUUAGUGGCGAACGGGUGAGUAACACGUGGGCAAUCUGCCCUUCACUCUGGGACAAGCCCUGGAAACGGGGUCUAAUACCGGAUACCACUCCUGCCUGCAUGGGCGGGAGUUGAAAGCUCCGGCGGUGAAGGAUGAGCCCGCGGCCUAUCAGCUUGUUGGUGGGGUAAUGGCCCACCAAGGCGACGACGGGUAGCCGGCCUGAGAGGGCGACCGGCCACACUGGGACUGAGACACGGCCCAGACUCCUACGGGAGGCAGCAGUGGGGAAUAUUGCACAAUGGGCGAAAGCCUGAUGCAGCGACGCCGCGUGAGGGAUGACGGCCUUCGGGUUGUAAACCUCUUUCAGCCGGGAAGAAGCCAAAGUGACCGUACCUG
This 461-nucleotide ribosomal RNA is filed under the name Streptomyces sp. 248-4.2-LH-H15(s)-08. RNAcentral describes it as "bacterial SSU rRNA". It matches the Rfam family "Bacterial small subunit ribosomal RNA", at positions 1 to 481 of the family's 1533-position model. Lineage: Bacteria; Bacillati; Actinomycetota; Actinomycetes; Kitasatosporales; Streptomycetaceae. The record is from RNAcentral.